AAAAAAAAAUUAGUGUUAGCUCCAACCCGUAACGCCAGUCCUUUCUCCCCCCGCGGCGAUCGCCGGAGAGGAGAGGAGCGGAGGGGAUGGACGCGGCGGCGCCGUCGCGGCGCGCGGGGCCGAGGCGGGACAGGCCCCUCAUCCCGCCCAACUACGUCAGCCUCCGGGACCUCCAGGAGCUCCGCCUCAAGGAGCAGGCCGAGCGGCGGCGGCGCCAGGAGGAGGAGGAGGCCGCCGCCAGGAGGGAGGCCGAGCAGGAGGAGGAGGAGCGGCGGCUGCGGAAGGAGGCGGAGGAGCAGGCCGCCGCGAGGAGGGCCAAGGAGGAGGAGGCCGUGGCGGCGAGGAGGGUUAGGGAUGCGGCGGCGGCGGCGGAGAUGAAGGGCUCCUCCUCCUCGUCGCGUGCCCCCUUCAGGUAUAAUGAGAGGCCCCGCGCAGGGCCGCGCGGGGAGGGUUCGGCCCUGAAUAGUGGUGGCGCCGCGGGAGGCAGCAAGGGGCCGGGCGGCGACGCGGCCGAUGGAACCCUAGGCGGCGGAGGUGGAGGCAGGGCGCGGGAUGAGGGGAAGGGCAAGGCCUCUGCGGGCUUGAUUGCCGGCGACCCAGCCGAGACAGCUACCAGCGGCAAGCCGAACGAGAAGAGCAAUGGGGAGGCCUCUGGAUGUCAGGGCACCGCAUUGGGGACGAGCAGCGUGCCAGGCGAGCUGGCCGAGGUGGACACUGCUUCAUACCGAGGCGGCGUCAAGCCGAGGUACAAGAACAAGGGGAAGAAGGGUUUCGAUGGCCGGAGCACAGAGACAGCCAUGACCGGCUCUUUGGUUGAGGUGGUGAAGGCAUCGCCACCGCGAGUCGUUGAUUCGGAGAACAAGGGGAAUGCUGGAUCGAGUAAUCAGAGCACUGGAAAAGCUUCGGCAAGCUCACAGGGCGAGGCAGCUGAGGAUUCACCACUGCAGGGAGUCAAGUCGGAUAACAAGUGGAAUAAGAAGAACAAACCCUCAGGAGGAAGGCAGGCGGGCGCACCACCGAGCGGCGAUUGGCCGAACAGGAGGAGGGACCAGCCUCGUCCGUCCGCUGAGGGUAGCCGCGGCCGGAGGAAUGGCGAUGGUCAAGGAGCCGUAUGGGAAGUAAAAUCCGAUGGCCUUGGGGGAAAGCAGCCGGAGGUGGAGGGGAAGGCCCACUCGCAUCUGCCCACUGAGAGCAGCAGUAACAGAAGGAGGGGCAGUGGUCAAGGAAUGACCAGGAAGGGAAAAUUUGAAGACUCUGGGGAGAAGGAGCUGGUGGUUGAGAUGAGGGCGCAUCCGCAUCCAGCUGCUGACAGCAGUAGCUAUCAAAGCAGCAGCGGUGAUCAAGGAAUGGCCGGGAAGGCAAGAUCUGAGGACUUCGGGGAUAAGCAGCCGGUGGGAAGGAGCAGCGGUGAUCAAGGGAUGAACCAGGAGGCAAAAUCUGAGCGCUUCGAGGAGAAGCAGUCGGCUGUGGAGAUGAGAGCUGUAAAGACCUACCGUGGGCAGCGGCCUGGCGGUUGCAGCCGAGUGAAUGGCACCACAAGGCAGCCCGGCAGCAUCUGGGUUCCAAAGGCUGCUGCUGUCCCAGUCCGCACCGAAGUCGGAAACAUUCCAUAGACAGGAAGUAUAUAUAGUAGUAAUAUGUGGCAAGAUGUGCCAGUGGUAGAUUUUCGACAAAUGAAGGUGCUAAAUCCUAUUUAUAAAUAGGAAGUGCAUGUAGAAUGUAGGUGCCCAUGUAGGGCCGGCGGGCUUUGAGAUUGCCAAAUUGGUUUGCCAGACUUUGAUAUUUGCUAGAUUGGUUCUGCGGUAAUAAAAAUAUUGUAAUCUCUGUAGAUUCCUGCUGUAAUUAAAUCAUUGCAAUAUUUUGGUGGAAUUUGCACAAGAUCCUUGCAUUCCAAACAUAUUGCAUAAACAAAAAGGCAUGGCAUUGCAGGUGAG
Molecule: ribosomal RNA, 1934 nt
Filed under: Triticum aestivum (bread wheat)
Lineage: Eukaryota; Viridiplantae; Streptophyta; Magnoliopsida; Poales; Poaceae
Description: partial small subunit ribosomal RNA
Source: RNAcentral